AGUGACUGUUUUAAGUGGUUUUUUUUUCUUAAUUUAUGUUCUCUUGAAAUUCCAUGUACUGUUUAUCGAAAGAUUCCAAAUUUAAGGUGUAAAAAGAAAUGGGUUUAUGUCUGUCUAAUCUAUAGCUUUUCCAUUGAAACAUCAAAUAUCAAAAUUUGUGUUUAUCUUGUCAAAUUGUUGAUCCGACAUACGUUCUUUAAGAUCUGAUAGUUACAACAACGAAUUUUAGUCAUUUAUAUGCUUUUGGUUGUGAAAUUUGUGAGUCUGACCUAUUUUUUGCAUCUGCGUUAAACAUUUUCCCCAAAAAGUUGAAAUGAUUGUCGUAUUUGUGUUAGAUAUUUUUGCCAAAAAAUUGAAUCGUCAAAACCUUUUUGUGGUCCGCAGAACGCUUGUUGGAUAUGCUUGUCCCAAAUGUUGACUACUGUUUAAGAAAGGGGUUUUCGUGAACUUAAUGAAUGGACUAUAUCUCCAUUUCAUGGUCGUAAACUACAGCACUUGACCAAACACUUGAGUCUCAAAAUUUAAGCCCUAUACUUUAUGUCUUGUUGUAAGUUGAAGUGAUAUGAUUGAUGUUGGCUUAGUUGCACAUGUACAUUAUAUAGUUAUGGGAUAUUACAACCUACUUCCAUUUGAACUUAUUUCAAUAAUCCGUUUAGUUGCUUUUAAUAGGUGCAAUUGUUGUAGCUCGGCAAAAAAAGGAUAUAUCCCCAUAAUUGAGAUUGUGAUAAUACAUUUGACAGGGUGUUUCUGGUAGAUCCUGAUUAGGAUAAUCUGUAGUAUAGGAAUAAUAGGAAUUUGAGGUUGGGGAAAUUGUUUCAGUUAAGGUUUUGAUUUAGUUAACAUUAUUGAAUCAACAGAUAUAACAUUUCGGAUCAACCAAAACCUUUGGAGAAAAUUGGUGAUUAUUGUGGUGAAGGUUCAUUAAAUGAAGUAGUUGAAAUGGUUGGUAAUUUAUACAACAAAUGCUAUGAAGGAAGAGAAUGGGAAGCUAAUGAUGAUGUUUUGUAUCAAGAAAUAAUUAAGUGUUUACGUUAUAUUCAACAAAAUGUGAUAAUAGUAUUGUUGUGAAAAUGGAUCUCAAUCAUCCUUAUAAUUUCCUUCUCAAAAGUUAACCCGAUUCUCAUUUAGCAGAGCUGAAGAUAUAGAAAUAGGGAGGAAGAUGAUAGUGGAGAAAGUAACGAAAAUCAACAGUUACUAAGAGCUUUUCAAAGUAUUCCCUCAAAUUCAUUAUCCCCAGAAAAGUGUACAAAGCUGUUGGAGGGAGAUAGCCGAAGGAGGAGAAGGAAAAGGAAGAUAAAUGGAAAUUGAGAACCUGAAAUCGGUGUCAAAAUGGUUGACGUGAAAAUUAUGUGUGUUAUGGAUCGUGUCGACUUGAUGGAGAUUCUUUGUUUGGGUUAUGCUGAUAUAGAUUUGAACUCGAUUGAUUCACAAGGAGGAACAAGUUGCUAGAGUGAGUGUGUGUAUUGGUGUAUAAGGAGAAUGGGGAGAAUACCAUAUUGCAACAAGGACAUUUGGACCCCCGAGGAAGAUGAGAAGCUUGUUCAAUUUAUCAACAAGAAUGGUCAUACCAGCAGCCGUUCACUUUCUAAACUUGCAGUUGCCCCUCACCUCAUGAAUAAUCAAGAAAUGCAUCACUGAGCCCCCGAAUCUAGAACUGCUUGUCGUUCCAAUCCAGUUCCAACAAUGCAUUUCUCAAAACGAGAAAGAGGAACUGCAUUAAGACAAAAGUGUUUAGAGUUUUGUUACAAUUUCAGGGUUCCCAAUGCUUUGCAUCAGUAUGAGAAAUUAACAGAAGAAAAAGAAAAAAAUGUAAGUGAUUGUUCUGUCGAAUCCAUCUUUCUCAUUAUAUCAUCUCUUUUUUAGGCAAAAGUUUUUUUUAAAGUACACAUCAUUUCUGUAUAUUUAUUAUGAUGAGGCAAUAAUUGUUGGUGUGUUUGGUAUAUAUAAAACUACUGCGUGUCCAGGUACAGUAAUUGAUACACAAUAAACAAUAAUCAUAUAUAAGCAGGAGAAGCAUACUACUAUGUAUAUUUUUUUUUACAAACACUAUAGUGACACAAAAUUAUACAUUAAGCUUAAUUAGAGCUUGUAAAACUGAAGUGCUGCUUCAGAAUCGCCAUGUUUUAUUGCAUAGGUGUACAAUAACUCCUUGUACUGGUAAGCCUUGUAUAGUCGAUUUUUUGUUGAUCUUUUGGCAAUCUAAGGAGAUUACAAAAGUACCCACAGAGACUCGAGCUUUUUUGGAUUUGUCACUGCUUGAAUAGGUGAUGGCGAGAUCCAAAUUCGUCAUUUCGUGGUUUAUGGCAACAUCAUAGAUUUUUUCACAACAACAAUUCCCCAAAAAUGUUUCUACACUACCAUGGAAUUAUUAUUAUUAGAUAAUACACCCUCCAUUCUCUCCGAUUAGUUUUUAUGUAACAUAUUUGUUUCAUGCUCUAUUAUGGAUUUUGCUUAUUAUUCUUUGUCCUGUGCCGGGGGUCUAUCAAAAACAGCCUUGCUACCUCUCCGGAGGUAGUGGUAUGGACUGCGUACAUUUUACACUCCCCAAACUCCACUGUGUGGGAAUACACUGAAUUUGUUGUUGUUGUCGUCUAAUUGUAACAUACCAAA
This is a long non-coding RNA of Capsicum annuum, 2610 nucleotides long. RefSeq lists it as uncharacterized. The transcript is spliced from 6 exons. Lineage: Eukaryota; Viridiplantae; Streptophyta; Magnoliopsida; Solanales; Solanaceae. The record is from RefSeq and is a predicted model, not a curated record.